CUGUGAGAUUACAUAUGCAUAUAGUGUUAAUGCUAUAAGAGUGUAGUAUCUACUCACAAGGUUAUCAGGUUAAAUAGUUUUAUCAACUUAUUAAAAUGUUAUUGCAUAACUAAUUUUAUACUGUAGCCUUGCCACGAUAUCCAGCGAAAAUUAUUUUGCUGAGUAUCGUAGUAAAAGUUAAGAUAUGAUGUUGAGGAUUUUUUUGAGUCGUGCAACAACAUUAACAGCAAACUAUAAUACAAAUCAUUUUUAAAAGUUUGUAUUGCU
RNAcentral lists this unclassified non-coding RNA (267 nucleotides) under Rickettsia honei. The record is from RNAcentral. Lineage: Bacteria; Pseudomonadati; Pseudomonadota; Alphaproteobacteria; Rickettsiales; Rickettsiaceae.